Long non-coding RNA from Lemur catta (Ring-tailed lemur), 3158 nucleotides. RefSeq lists it as uncharacterized. The transcript has 4 exons. NCBI's taxonomy places the organism in Eukaryota, Metazoa, Chordata, Mammalia, Primates, Lemuridae. The record is from RefSeq and is a predicted model, not a curated record.
UGUUCUUUUUCACCGCUUUUCUCUAGCGUGAGGCUGGCUGCGCGGAGGAGGGAGGCUGCCGUGUUCUGCCUCGGUCUGUUUUCUUCUUCCUGCCUGUUGGUAGAAGCACACUUGUCAGGCCCCUGCGGUGAAGGGAAGAGGAGGAGACAGGAGAAGAGAAAGAGCAGAGCAUUGAGCUGGUGGUACAGCACUGCUAGCCUGUGGCAUCGUUGUGAGAAUCAGCAAAUGGCGUCUGCUCUGGGUGCACAGGGCCCAUGCCAGCCCACGGAGCACGGCAAGCCCAGUACAGGCUGGGUUUUAGUCUCCACUGUCCCCUCUGCCUGGAGCCUUGUUCAGUGAACAGCCUGUGCAACUGUGACCACCAUCCCUGACUGGGAGAAGACUGAUCCCAGCUGCUGUGGAAGAUGCAGCCUCAAAAGGAACUGAGAUAAGUGAAGGGGAAAAACCUGCUGUUGGUUAUGGCUACGGUGUCUGAUGGGUGCAAAGGUCCAAUCUAUUUCCAGAAAGCCUUACCACAAGGCAAUCACUCCUACUCAUUGAGUACAGCUCUUUGCAUUCUCCAUCAAGGCAUGCACCAAAGCUUACACAGUCUAGUUCAUCUCUCCCUCUCCUCUUCCACCAAACUUGGACUCCGUCCCUGUUUCUAUCCCUGUAUUAGUUCCUUUUACUUCUCAGGAAGAGGCUCCCUAGACUUCAGAGUGAAAUUUCUACCCCCAAACUUUCUGCUGCUAAUAUUCACUACCAAUAACUGGUGCCUAAUUCUGCUAAAAAAAAUAUUUUCCCUCUCCCUCGUAUCAAUGACACCUUUUUCAGAAAGAAGAAGAAAAGAAGAUACGAGGGUAAGGGAGCAUGAGGGUGGAGAAAGUUCUGCCUCGCCACAUGCAAUUUUUUGCCUUAAUACAUUUUUUUCUUAGAAUAUCUAAAGCUCUCAUCAGAUUCUCAAAAGAGUCCAUGACCCCAGAAUUUCAAGAGCCACUGCUAUGAAAGGAUUCAUAAAAUCCCCUAAGACAAGGGCAUAGAAAGUUCAGGGAGGCUUAUGAAAUCCAUUUUAUCCCACUGUCUGAGUCUUAGCAGGUUAUCUAAUUUCCUUCAGACCAUGGGCACGGACAUUGUUGCUUAUUUUCCUCACUGGCUUGGAUGCCCCCAGAAUGACAUUAUUCUAAUUGCCAAUUAGCAGGUGUCUCAUUCUUCAGUUUGUCACCCACAAAGCUACCCUCUAUUGUGUCCCUAGAGUUGUGAUUCAAGCAGCUCUCUCAUUGGCUUUAAACUCCUCCAUCCCCACCUAUCUGACUGCAUCUUGCUGUCUUCCCCCAGCCCUUCACGUCAGCCAGGCUGGUCAACACACUGUCCACAACAUGGGCAUCAUGGCCAUCUACCUCCAAGUCACCACUCACAAUGUCUUGUCACCUUUCUCCUUGCUUCUCCAGAUCCUCUCUAUAAUUUGAACUCUUCCAGAGCGGGGCACUUGCCUCUGUGUUCCAGGAGCACCCGUGUCCCCUGUCACGCACCCGUCAACGUGGGUGCUCACUCUUGCCUGGCCCGUCCGCUCGCCGGCUGGCCUAUGUUAAUAUUGGACCCGAUUUACCGAUAAGAAAACUGAAGCUUAGAGUUCAAAUGACUUCCCUGAAGUGACAUAACUGCAGGCGGCAGAGUGGAAAUUGGAGCUCACGCAGUCCGACUCUAAACUCUGUCGUCUCGAUUGCUGCACAUUCCUGCCUCCGUGGAUGAAUUCCUGUUUUGGUGCAGGUGUCCAUUCUGUUCCCAGUGACAUAGAUUGAAGAGGAUCAUCCCUCCAUUCCAUAUUCUGUGCAAAGCUGAGGCUCUCCCUGAUCCUUCUGGGAAUUCAGGCAUCCGUCCAUCUGGGCUAAUAGGGGUGCACGGGCGAAUGUCGGCUGGGCACAAAGUCAGCGUGAAUGACGGCUGCGGGAUCACUGACAGGGUCUGACCUCUCCCUCCGGCCGCUGGGCCUCAUGAGACCUCCUUGUGGAAACCAUCUUCCCGGAGACAGCGUCAGUGAAGUCCUGCGACCACUCACCCCCUCCCUCCGCGUGUCCUCUGCCCCAGGUCAAGCCCUUAAGACCCUUUCCCUGGACUAGCACGCUUCCUUCUCACGCUACCACUCCUCUUUCAAAGCGCACAUCUGAGCGCAGGUUUCUCAGGCAAACCGCACAGCCAUGCCCGUGGCAUUCUGGACGGAGGCCGAGCACAUGAAGCCCUCCAAGGCCUGACCCCACCCGCUCCGGUCGGUUCUCCCCGUGCCCCAUGCUGCAGGCACCCAGCCCUGGGUCCCCAGUCCCCACUGCCCUGGAGCCGGUGGCCUUGCGGGCAUGCCUCGUGGGCCACCUCCCGGGAGAGGUGUCCACUACUGCCCCUACACAGCCAACCUGAUUUCAUCUACUGGGCUCCCAUGCAGAUAAUUUUUUUUUUUUUUUGGUAGAAGGGAUUCUGUGGUGAGGAAAAAGUUUGAAGGGUACUGUUCUGGUACUACGAAACUGCCCACAGUUUCCUACAGGCACCGUGCCAUCUCACACGUCUGUGUUUAUGCUGUUUGUGCCUCUGGGAAUGCCCAUUUUCCUAUUCCUGGGAUUUCCUCAUCCUUUGCUAUGAACGUUUGGACUGAAUGUUUGUGCCUCCCCCAAAUUCAUAUGUUGAAAUCCUAACCUCCAAUGUGAUGAUAUUGAGAGAUGGGGCCUUUGGGAGCCGAUUCAGUCAGGAGGGUGGAGCCCAUGCUGGGAUUAGUGUCCUUAGAAGAAGAGGAGGAGAUACCACAGCUCCAUCCUGCACCCCUGCCUCCCAACUUCCACCAUGGAAGAAUACAAGAAGGUGGCUGUUCGCAAGCCACAAAGUGAGCCCUCACUAGAUCCUAAAUUUACCAGUGCCUUGGUCUUAGAUUUCCAGCCUCCAUAACUAUGAGAAAUAAAUGUCUGUUGUUUAAGUCACCCAGGCUAUGGUACUUUGUUACAGGAGCCAGAGCUGACUAAGACAUUUCUCAAGAAACUCCACUUCCAAGAAGCCAAUCUGAAGGCCAGGGUGGGCUAACAUACUGUGCCUGUGCUCCCACUGAUCCUGCAUGAUGCUAUAUUAUUUACUGUAUUAAACUGAAAGAUUACUUGUUUAUGUGUGUACUCUGCCCAUUAGGAAGUAAAUUCCUGAAGACA